Mycena vulgaris is the source of this 89-nucleotide non-coding RNA. The record is from the annotation of a GenBank genome assembly. Lineage: Eukaryota; Fungi; Basidiomycota; Agaricomycetes; Agaricales; Mycenaceae.
GGCGUCGUAGAUCAACGUAGAUCGUUCUCAGCCUUUGGCGUAGUUCUGGUUUGAGGAGAGACACGCGGGUUCGACCCCCGCCGACGCCG